UGAUGCGAUCAUACUAGCACUAAAGCACCGAAACCCAUCAAAACUCCGGAGUUAAGCGUGCUUGGGCGAGCGUAGUACUAGGAUGGGUGACCUCCUGGGAAGUCCUCGUGUUGCAUUCC
This 119-nucleotide ribosomal RNA is filed under the name Triticum aestivum (bread wheat). RNAcentral also lists the same sequence under 1 other name. The record is from RNAcentral. Lineage: Eukaryota; Viridiplantae; Streptophyta; Magnoliopsida; Poales; Poaceae.